ACGGCGAGUGAAGCGGCAACAGCUCAAAUUUGAAAUCUGGCCUCGGCCCGAGUUGUAAUUUGCAGAGGAUGCUUCCGGCGACGUGCCUUCCGAGUCCCCUGGAACGGGGCGCCUGAGAGGGUGAGAGCCCCGUACGGUUGGACGCCGAGCCUGUGUGAAGCUCCUUCGACGAGUCGAGUAGUUUGGGAAUGCUGCUCUAAAUGGGAGGUAAAUUCCUUCUAAAGCUAAAUACCGGCCAGAGACCGAUAGCGCACAAGUAGAGUGAUCGAAAGAUGAAAAGCACUUUGGAAAGAGGGUUAAACAGUACGUGAAAUUGCUGAAAGGGAAGCGCUCGCGACCAGACUCGCGCCGGGCGGAUCAUCCAGCGUUCUCGCUGGUGCACUUCGCCCGGCCCGGGCCAGCAUCGGUUCUAGCGGGGGGACAAAAGCCCGGGAAACGUAGCUCCCUCCGGGGAGUGUUAUAGUCCCUCGCCUAAUAUCCCCGCCGGGACCGAGGACCGCGCCUCGUGCAAGGAUGCUGGCGUAAUGGUCGCCAGCGACCCGUCUUGAAACACGGACCAAGGAGUCGAACAUUCGUGCGAGUGUUUGGGUGGAAACCCCUCACGCGUAAUGAAAGUGAACGGAGGUGGGAGCCUCGGCGCACCAUCGACCGAUCCUGAAGCUUGUCGGAUGGAUUUGAGUGGGAGCAUGACUGUUCGGACCCGAAAGAUGGUGAACUAUGCCUGCGUAGGGUGAAGCCAGAGGAAACUCUGGUGGAGGCUCGCAGCGGUUCUGACGUGCAAAUCGAUCGUCAAACGUGGGCAUGGGGGCGAAAGACUAAUCGAACCAUCUAGUAGCUGGUU
RNAcentral lists this ribosomal RNA (841 nucleotides) under Lulworthiales sp. MV-2012. RNAcentral describes it as "partial 28S ribosomal RNA". It matches the Rfam family "Eukaryotic large subunit ribosomal RNA", at positions 86 to 956 of the family's 3401-position model. The record is from RNAcentral. Lineage: Eukaryota; Fungi; Ascomycota; Sordariomycetes; Lulworthiales.